AAUCUUGCACAAUGGGCGAAAGCCUGAUGCAGCAACGCCGCGUGAGGGACGAAGGCUUUCUGAGUUGUAAACCUCUUUCAGCAGGGACGAUUAUGACGGUACCUGCAGAAGAAGCCCCGGCCAACUACGUGCCAGCAGCCGCGGUAAUACGUAGGGGGCAAGCGUUGUCCGGAUUUAUUGGGCGUAAAGAGCUCGUAGGCGGCUUGGCAAGUCGGGUGUGAAACCUCCAGGCUCAACCUGGAGCCGCCAUUCGAUACUGCCAUGGCUAGAGUUUGGUAGGGGACCACGGAACUCCUGGUGUAGCGGUGAAAUGCGCAGAUAUCAGGAAGAACACCAGCGGCGAAGGCGGUGGUCUGGGCCAAUACUGACGCUGAGGAGCGAAAGCGUGGGGAGCGA
This 396-nucleotide ribosomal RNA is filed under the name uncultured Acidimicrobiales bacterium. RNAcentral's name for it is "bacterial SSU rRNA". It matches the Rfam family "Bacterial small subunit ribosomal RNA", at positions 360 to 771 of the family's 1533-position model. Lineage: Bacteria; Bacillati; Actinomycetota; Acidimicrobiia; Acidimicrobiales. The record is from RNAcentral.